This 115-nucleotide ribosomal RNA is filed under the name Microcaldota archaeon. The record is from RNAcentral. Lineage: Archaea; Nanobdellati; Microcaldota.
GCCAACGGCCAUAGGGGGUUGGAAACACCCGAACCCAUUUCGAACUCGGAAGUUAAGCGGCUCCACGGCCUUGUCUGUACUGCUCUAUGAGCGGAAAAACGGGCUGCUGUUGGCA